UAGGGAAUCUUCGGCAAUGGACGGAAGUCUGACCGAGCAACGCCGCGUGAGUGAAGAAGGUUUUCGGAUCGUAAAGCUCUGUUGUAAGAGAAGAACGAGUGUGAGAGUGGAAAGUUCACACUGUGACGGUAUCUUACCAGAAAGGGACGGCUAACUACGUGCCAGCAGCCGCGGUAAUACGUAGGUCCCGAGCGUUGUCCGGAUUUAUUGGGCGUAAAGCGAGCGCAGGCGGUUAGAUAAGUCUGAAGUUAAAGGCUGUGGCUUAACCAUAGUACGCUUUGGAAACUGUUUAACUUGAGUGCAAGAGGGGAGAGUGGAAUUCCAUGUGUAGCGGUGAAAUGCGUAGAUAUAUGGAGGAACACCGGUGGCGAAAGCGGCUCUCUGGCUUGUAACUGACGCUGAGGCUCGAAAGCGUGGGGAGCAAACAGGAUUAGAUACCCUGGUAGUCCACGCCGUAAACGAUGAGUGCUAGGUGUUAGACCCUUUCCGGGGUUUAGUGCCGUAGCUAACGCAUUAAGCACUCCGCCUGGGGAGUACNACCGCAAGGUUG
This 550-nucleotide ribosomal RNA is filed under the name uncultured bacterium. RNAcentral's name for it is "bacterial SSU rRNA". It matches the Rfam family "Bacterial small subunit ribosomal RNA", at positions 355 to 896 of the family's 1533-position model. The record is from RNAcentral.